CGGGGGAAAAUCGAGUUGAGCGGCUAUUGAAUGUUGGAAACGUAUUUCCUGUUGAAAAACGAUAUUCUGUCGGAUAACGAUUUUCUCGAGCGUUUACACAACAACCCGGAAGUGAUGUAGGACGGAUGGCGGAGUUGGCAUAUGCGCGGAACAACCUAGUGUAUCCCAUCGCUGAGAAUACUUCUUAAGUCAGUCAAUGACCGGUUACCGGUGACAGCGGAUCCGGACCGCUGCAGACGAAGUAACUUCCGGUCCAAUCGUAAAUGGACAACGCCGCACGGUCCAAAGGCUUAUAAGUGUGCGUUGACAAUGUUCGGAUAUACCUUAACUGGUAUUUGAGGUUCUUGUUACCAGGGUAAAGGUAUGCAGCAAACCCUAACUUUUUUGAACACAAUAUAGAUGUUAAGAUGUCUUAAAAUUGCUCGACCAUAGACACAUGUAUUUAAUUGUUU
Long non-coding RNA from Dreissena polymorpha, 452 nucleotides. RefSeq lists it as uncharacterized. NCBI's taxonomy places the organism in Eukaryota, Metazoa, Mollusca, Bivalvia, Myida, Dreissenidae. The record is from RefSeq and is a predicted model, not a curated record. The transcript has 2 exons.